Non-coding RNA from Apiotrichum porosum, 91 nucleotides. Lineage: Eukaryota; Fungi; Basidiomycota; Tremellomycetes; Trichosporonales; Trichosporonaceae. The record is from the annotation of a RefSeq genome assembly.
GGUCGCGUGGCCAAAUGGUACGGCGUUUGACUACGAUGCAACAUCAUCUUCGUUUAUCAAGAGAUCGCGGGUUCGAUCCCCGUCGUGACCU